Molecule: ribosomal RNA, 325 nt
Filed under: uncultured bacterium
Lineage: Bacteria
Description: bacterial SSU rRNA
Rfam family: Bacterial small subunit ribosomal RNA
Source: RNAcentral
GGGAAACGACCUUCCUCUUUGUUAGCGGCGGACGGGUCAGUAACACGAGGGUAACCUGCCCGUAAGACCCGAUACUUUGGGAAACCGGAGCUAAACCGGAAAACACCGAAGUCCGCACGGUCUUUGGUUGAAAGGCGGCUUGGGCUGCCCCUUUCGGAAGGGCCCGCGGCGCAUUAGCUAGUUGGUGAGGUAACGGCUCACCAAGGCGACGAUGCGUAGCCGGCCUGAGAGGGGGACCGCCCCCCCUGGGACUGAGACACAGCCCAGACUCCUACGGGAGGCAGCAGUAGGGAAUUUUCCGCCAUGGCCGAAAGUCUGAAGGAGC